RNAcentral lists this long non-coding RNA (243 nucleotides) under Carica papaya (papaya). RNAcentral's name for it is "long non-coding RNA (CPAP_LNC010783)". Lineage: Eukaryota; Viridiplantae; Streptophyta; Magnoliopsida; Brassicales; Caricaceae. The record is from RNAcentral.
AAGGGGAGAGCUAAAAAAUUACAACAUGCCUUCUAACUUUUUAUCCAAGUGUAGAUCAAUGAGAAAGAUGGGUUUGGACCCAUUGAAGAAGCCUAAGAAAAGAAGACAACAUGGCUAUUAACCUAAGGGUAUAAUAGUGUAUACUAUUCACCCCAAGUACAAGAGGGAAAUAAAGAAAAGGGAGAAAUUCUGAAAGACAUGAAAAAGAAAAAUUACCAUAGAAUUUUGUUUCCUAAUCAUUUG